Molecule: ribosomal RNA, 253 nt
Filed under: uncultured bacterium
Lineage: Bacteria
Description: partial 16S ribosomal RNA
Rfam family: Bacterial small subunit ribosomal RNA
Source: RNAcentral
UACGAAGGGGGCUAGCGUUGUUCGGAAUUACUGGGCGUAAAGCGCGUGUAGGCGGGCCGUUAAGUCGGGGGUGAAAGCCCAGAGCUCAACUCUGGAACUGCCUUCGAUACUGGAGGCCUGGAGCAUGAUAGAGGCGAGUGGAAUUUCGAGUGUAGAGGUGAAAUUGGUAGAUAUUCGCAGGAACACCAGUGGCGAAGGCGACUCGCUGGAUCAUUGCCGACGCUGAGACGCGAAAGCGUGGGGAGCAAACAGG